AUGGAGGAGCAGGCCAACACCCCUCCCUCUUCAUGCAUGGCUACCGGCCUGAGCAAUCUCCUUUUAAUUCACGGUCUCUUCCAGUUUCUCAAUUAUUCAUACAUUUGCAUCUAUGUUCCAGCCGCCCCCUUCUUCAUGGCUAGGAUUUGGGUGAAAGGAGGCCACAACAGGGGAGAAGUGGCCAGGGGACAUAGCCAUGCCAUUCACUCUCAAACCUCGGCUACGAAAUUAUUGCACAGGGAAUGUCUUUUGCAUGGCAGAAAGAGUUGUGGCAGGCAAAGAGGUCAUAAUUUCUGGAUCCGCGCCGCCAUCAAGCCGGGCCCCAACGGUCGCCUCCUUCUCUACAACCAGUGCCAGGCCCUUCGGUGCAUCGAUCCGGCACCAGGAACCAUGAGAAGCAGGCCCUUCUACCCCGCCGCCGGCGCCGCCUCCUCGCGAGAUCCCGACCAUGAGGAACCUCUUACUUUUACGGUUAAGCCUGUUGCAUUUGUUCAUUCAGAGGAGGCAGCUGAUAGGUCCGCUGUAGAUGCUGUUUGUUCUGUUUGUCGAGGCUUUUGUCGGCCUGCUGUCUGCUGCCGUGUUGAGAGGUUGCAAGGUUCCUGGUUGGUGCUCGGGUCUGCUUGGAUCCCUGUGCCUGAUUUGUCCUUAUCUGGCAGCGCGGAGAUGAUCCAUGAUCUGGUGGUGGGAAGUGGCUCCAUAUUGGUGAUUGGACCUCCUGGUCCAGAAGAUGGUGUUGUUAUCCACGAGGAUGUCUUAAAUGAUACGAGAGGUGUCAGAAAUGCUACUCAGAGAAAGCUCCUCAAUGAGCUGGGCAUCCCAGCUGAAGAUGUGCCCGUUGACCAGUUCAUUCCUGUCAGUCGGAUGCUUGACAGGGUGUCGGCUGUAGAGACAGAAGAGGAGGUUGAGGCAUCCUCGACGCCUGCUGCAGCGACCACGACCACAUGCAUCUAA
RNAcentral lists this ribosomal RNA (951 nucleotides) under Triticum aestivum (bread wheat). Its description in RNAcentral is "partial small subunit ribosomal RNA". The record is from RNAcentral. Lineage: Eukaryota; Viridiplantae; Streptophyta; Magnoliopsida; Poales; Poaceae.